GGGCCCGCACAAGCGGUGGAGUAUGUGGUUUAAUUCGAUGCAACGCGAAGAACCUUACCAGGGUUUGACAUCCUGCGAAUUUCUGGGAAACCGGAAAGUGCCUUCGGGAGCGCAGUGACAGGUGGUGCAUGGCUGUCGUCAGCUCGUGUUGUGAAAUGUUGGGUUAAGUCCCGUAACGAGCGCAACCCCUGUCCCCUAUUUGCCAGCGAUCGGUCGGGAACUCUAGGGAGACUGCCGGUGACAAACCGGAGGAAGGUGGGGACGACGUCAAGUCAUCAUGGCCCUUACGGGUAGGGCUACACACGUGCUACAAUGGCAGGUACAAGGGUUGCAAGACGGCGACGUGGAGCUAAUCCCAUAAGCUGCCUC
Molecule: ribosomal RNA, 369 nt
Filed under: uncultured bacterium
Lineage: Bacteria
Description: bacterial SSU rRNA
Rfam family: Bacterial small subunit ribosomal RNA
Source: RNAcentral